GAUGAACGCUAGCGGCAGGCCUAAUACAUGCAAGCCGAACGGCAAGAUUUUCAGCAAUGGAAAUCCUAGAGUGGCGUAAGGGUGCGUAACACGUAUGCAAUCUGCCCUCAACAGGAGGAUAGCUCCCCGAAAGGGGAAUUAAGACUCCAUAAGAUCUUAGAGUGGCAUCACUUAGAGAUUAAACUACCAGGGGUUGAGGAUGAGCAUGCGCANGAUUAGUUAGUUGGCGGGGUAACGGCCCACCAAGACGAUGAUCAUUAGGGGAACUGAGAGGUUGACUCCCCACACUGGCACUGAGAUACGGGCCAGACUCCUACGGGAGCAGCAGUAGGGAAUAUUGGACAAUGGGUGCAAGCCUGAUCCAGCCAUGCCGCGUGCAGGAAGAAAG
This 388-nucleotide ribosomal RNA is filed under the name uncultured bacterium. Its description in RNAcentral is "bacterial SSU rRNA". It matches the Rfam family "Bacterial small subunit ribosomal RNA", at positions 28 to 414 of the family's 1533-position model. The record is from RNAcentral.